AGUGAACGCUGGCGGUAGGCCUAACACAUGCAAGUCGAACGGCAGCACAGUAAGAGCUUGCCCUUACGGGUGGCGAGUGGCGGACGGGUGAGGAAUACAUCGGAAUCUACUUUUUCGUGGGGGAUAACGUAGGGAAACUGACGCUAAUACCGCAUACGACCUACGGGUGAAAGCAGGGGAUCUUCGGACCUUUCGCGAUUGAAUGAGCCGAUGUCGGAUCAGCUAGUUGGCGGGGUAAAGGCCCACCAAGGCGACGAUGCGUAGCUGGUCUGAGAGGAUGAUCAGCCACACUGGAACUGAGACACGGUCCAGACUCCUACGGGAGGCAGCAGUGGGGAAUAUUGCACAAUGGGCGCAAGCCUGACCGAGCCACACCGCGUGGGUGAAGAAGGCCUUCGGGUUGUAAAGCCCUUUUGUUGGGAAAGAACAGCAGCAGGUUAAUCCCCCGAUGUUCUGACGGUACCCAAAGAAUAAGCCCCGGCUAACUUCGUG
Molecule: ribosomal RNA, 492 nt
Filed under: uncultured bacterium
Lineage: Bacteria
Description: partial 16S ribosomal RNA
Rfam family: Bacterial small subunit ribosomal RNA
Source: RNAcentral